Small nucleolar RNA from Dioscorea cayenensis subsp. rotundata (Guinea yam), 107 nucleotides. The record is from RefSeq and is a predicted model, not a curated record. Lineage: Eukaryota; Viridiplantae; Streptophyta; Magnoliopsida; Dioscoreales; Dioscoreaceae.
AGUCCAUGGUGUUGAUACAUCCACAAAAACUCCUUAAAUUGGUCCCAAGCAUCAUAUAAAGAUUCUCUAUCUUUUUUAGCAAAGCUUGUAAUUUGGUUUCUGAGUUG